AAGGCUUCACUUUGUUGCUCUGCAGAUUCCCAAUGAAAUGCCACUCUAUAUCUCCAGGAAGCUUCAAUUUCAAAUCACAAAAAUAAAAAAGAUGAUCAAACUUUUCUAAAUCCAAAAGAUUCAAACUUUCAAACGGAUUCGAACCAGUGGGACCUUCUCAAUGAUCUCCUGUGCUUUCACCUUAGCUGUUUGAAGCUUGUUCAACCUCAGCUUCUCUUUCCGACAAAAAGAAAAGGAGAAGAAUAAGGUUUUGUCGUUUUUAUUUUUUCCGACUAAUUUUUAAAGGUUUUUGGUUUUGUCGUUUUAACCCCCAAACUUGAGAACUAGGGUUUCUAAUGGCUUCCUCAGAUUACGAGAUCAUCACUGACCCGUGCAGUAUGUAUGUCCCUGGACAAGAGCCCGAGGGUAUGAAGCUUAUGUUGGAGAAGAUUCGAGGGAAGCGUGACAAACGGAUUCACAAUCACACACAAGCUGAGGAGCAUCGUAUCAUCAACGAACAGAUCGUGAAGAGUCAGGGCUUUGAUGUUGAUUUCUCCAAGUUGCGAUACCUUUUCGAUUUCCAGCCUGCGUUUCUCGAUGAUUGCGAUAGCGAUACCGGCAGGGACUAUUUCGGUAGGAAGCUAUUGAGUGUUACAACAAAACAGAGGGGACUAGUUUUGAGUUCGUCGAGGUUGAGGAAGCAAAUAUAUACUCGAACAGCGGGAGGUCUUCUUCAUCACAUUUGUAGCCAAAGAUCCGCUUGACCAGACAUAAGUGUUUCAAGCUAAGGUCAUCCAUGUUUUCUGUAGGAAGAUUGUACACAGCUUCUGUAGGCUUAAACCCAACCAAGAAGUAACAUUUGAUGAUAAAGAGUCUUUUGCGAAGAAAGCGUCCAUUACAAGAAGAAAAAAAGAAAAGAAAGCAUGGUUGAAAAUUAAACCAGGGUGUAAUAAUUCAAACCUAAAAGUUGAUGGUUUGAGCCUCGGUGAUAAGCAAGCAGCCCAGCCCAAGAGCAAAGAACAACGGUCAUCAGCAGCUACUUAUAAAAACAGAGGAGAAGGAGAUGAGUACAAGCAAAGGACGAUGAGUGAGCUUCGAAAUCCAUUCUCUGCCCUUUCUUCAUUUGACUUAUCAGGAUGAUGCCAUCUAUAUACUAUAUCUAGGGUUUUAGGCUUAUCAUAUAAGUUAUGUGGAAUCAAUGGCGACUGUAAGAACUCGAGAGAGUUAAAAGAAAUCAAGAAGAUGAAGAGUGAAUCUA
This is a long non-coding RNA of Brassica oleracea var. oleracea, 1237 nucleotides long. RefSeq lists it as uncharacterized. The record is from RefSeq and is a predicted model, not a curated record. NCBI's taxonomy places the organism in Eukaryota, Viridiplantae, Streptophyta, Magnoliopsida, Brassicales, Brassicaceae. The transcript has 4 exons.